CAUUUUGAUUUCGCCCCUUGGAGAGAGUCACUUUCUCUCUCCCUGAACUCCCUCUGCUCCUAAGAGCCUAAGACCCAUCCUCGUCGUCACCACCUCUUUCUUCCUCAGCACCGUGACAGCAAUAACGCUGCCCCCUCCAGCCAUCGUCAUGCUCAAACCCACCGCGAACCACCGUGGAUCUCUCCUCGUAACAAAUCGUCGGAGCCAUCACUGUGGUUUUAGAUCUGGUGCUUGUCGUUUCAAAUCUGGUGUCUGUCGACAAUGAGGACUGCGACUUCCUCUGUGGGUCUCUUCACCACCACCACCAGCACCACGAACAUUCAUUUUCUUCGUCUGAGCCGCAGCACGCCGUUAUUCCAAACACGGCGUGGCGGAGCUCCUUCUGGUCCUCGAGGUUGAGACGAGCGAGCUUGAGCGUGUAAACGACGUAGGUGACGAUGUUUUCUGGUGUUGGGUUAAAACAGGUUAAAUAUUUUGCUGUUGGAUUAAAAUUUUGUGCAUAUUAGAAACCUUUUCAAAAUCCAAAAUCACGUAGAGUUGUGCUUGGUUUGUUGAUUAAGUCACUCUUCAAUGUUUAAUAGGUCUGUGUGUUUAUAGUGUAUUGUGUUGAUGUGUUGUUAGAAAACAUUUGGAUUUUUAAUUAUUCAAGAUGUAAC
RNAcentral lists this long non-coding RNA (656 nucleotides) under Glycine max (soybean). RNAcentral's name for it is "long non-coding RNA (GMAX_LNC001809)". Lineage: Eukaryota; Viridiplantae; Streptophyta; Magnoliopsida; Fabales; Fabaceae. The record is from RNAcentral.